Oncorhynchus tshawytscha (Chinook salmon) is the source of this 2084-nucleotide long non-coding RNA. RefSeq lists it as uncharacterized. The transcript is spliced from 2 exons. Lineage: Eukaryota; Metazoa; Chordata; Actinopteri; Salmoniformes; Salmonidae. The record is from RefSeq and is a predicted model, not a curated record.
GAAAGUAACGUUAGGCUAUUCUGAAUAGGACAUGUACUUUUGUGUAGUUCCUGUCCCUAGAAGUGAGGAUGGAUAUAAUAGCAACAUAAUAUUCAGUGUGGUGUAAUUUGACUACAAUGAAGUUUGUUUCUUGUGAGGUUUUCUGUCCUCAGAUAAAGAGAGCUAUGAAAGCCUGUCUACAUAUGACGAGGUCCCAAAUGAAGAGCAGUGGUUCUCAGUCCUGGGGACUCAAAGCGGUGCACAUUUUUGUUUUUGCCUUAGAACUGCACUGCUGAUUCAAAUGCUCAACUCAUCAUCAAGCUUCAAAUGAUACCUUGUAACUGGAGAUUCCUUCAAAACGAUUGCCUACAGUUAAUGUGUAGGGCACAGCAAGGUUGGGUGACUAGGGCCAUCUGGGACUGCCUGCUGGAGGAAUUCAGGUGUGUGAAGGAGCAAUUCAGGUGUGUGAAGGCUACCUGUGUCCUGCAUAACUUCAUGAGGAUAGACACAAGGACCAGGAGGGGAUCUGCAGCACCCCGCCGUGUGCCAGAGGAAAAGUCUGCUACUCUGCAGGAUGUUUUAAAGAUGGGGUCCAACAAUGCAGCAAGAGAGGCAAUCUGUGUGCGGGAGAUCUUCACCUCCUACUUCUUUGGAAGAGGGUGCUGUUCCCUGGCAACACCAUAGACUACACUAUGCACAACCAAAGGCUCUUUUAAGAGCCAUUCACAUUGCAAUAAGAGUAUUCUUCCAUUUACUUAGCUAUGUCAACUGCAGUUAUUCCAUUCCCAGUUUCCCUUUGAUUCCUACUUCUCAGGUGAGGGUGCUGUUUAGGUAAGGGUGUGAUGUUUGUACAAAAACAAAACAGGCUAUUUUAAAUCACCCAUAUUGAAAAAAUGUAGAACAAUUAGACACCCUAUAACCCACACCUACACACUCAUGUAUCAAUCUGAUUGAUGGAUUGUGUUGUGCAGUAAGCAGGCUCAGGUGUAUAACUGUGGCGCCUUCCACCUUCAAAGAAUAGGCAAGAGUGCCAACUAUGGAGAAUAAUAAGACACUUAAUUAUUUCUAUAACUAGAUAGCCAGCUAGCUAGCUGCUAGGAGGAUGUCAUGUCAUGUCAUUGGAGGAGUGGGUGAGUGACUGACUUUUUCCCAUCAUAUCAUUUUCGGUGGCUACACACAGCUAGAGAUGCACGUGUCAUUUGUUUAGCUAACAAGAACUUGAUUGACUGUUAUACAGUUAGCAUAUCUCUUGCGUUUGCAAAUUCACUCUAGCUAUCUAAGUUACUUUGAUUUCAGAGCAGUCUCUUUUGAGUGUGCCAGAGCACAGAACAACUGAUGCAUUUACGAACGCAACACCUACUGAAUAUGGCCGGUGUCAGUACACGUAGGCAAAACAAGUAAUAGUUUUUUAUUUAUUUAACCUUUACUUAAACAGGUCAAACCCAUUGAGUCUAAAAACCUAUUUGUGAGGGCGACCUUGCAAGAAGGCAAAACAGGGAAAUAGCAGCGUGUCCAUAAAACACAGAAAAAUACGGAAUACACACAAAAGACAAAGUGUCACAAGUUAAAGAUACAAUUGAAGAUUAGAAACAACUGCAGUCUUCACAAACAGUGUUGUCGAUCAGAGUCUUAAAAACAGACAAGGGCACUAAACUCCCUUAACUUUAAAAUCUUCUGAAGCAUGUUCCAAGAUGACGGCAUUAUGGGAAAAAUAUGUUUUCCCCAUUUCAGUUCUAGCCUUAGGAACAGACAAGGACAGCAGCGAUUGUGAAUGAAGACUAUAUUGAGUGACUGAUCUGGUCAGUAAAGAACAGCGAUACAAAUGCUUUGUACACAAAAGUGUACCAGUGCUUUAGCCUCCUGGUGGAGAGAGAGUUCCAUUGCACCAUAGCAUACAAAUCACAGUGAUGGGUAAGUGAUUUAGCGGUUGAAAUACAUUUUAGAGCACCAUGAUACACUGUGUCCAGAGUUUAAGGUACUUGCUGAGGCAUAUAGACAAUAUCACCAUAAUCCAGCACUGAUAUAAAAAAAGUGCUUUGAACAAUAACUUUUCUGACUAACUUUGAAAAGCAAGAUUUGUUCCUGAAAUAGAAACACAAUUUCAA